RNAcentral lists this long non-coding RNA (616 nucleotides) under Homo sapiens (human). RNAcentral's name for it is "HSALNT0162791". The record is from RNAcentral. Lineage: Eukaryota; Metazoa; Chordata; Mammalia; Primates; Hominidae.
CUUAUAACUCAUGGAGAAAACAAAUCCAUAAUCUUAAGUGUUAGGAUAUACAAAAGUCAUCUUCUUUUUGAAAGUUUAUAGAGACUCAUGUUUAGUACCAUUUUAGGAUUUGCAUUUCAGAAUUUUUGUUUUAUAUGUUUUCAAAGUGUCUCAAAAUAAUAACAAUAGAUAACAUUUGGUACACAUUUAGUGUAUCCUAAGCACCAUGAUUAUCAUUUACAUGCAUCAUCUCAAUCUUUAUGACAACUUUGUUAGCUAGGCAUAGUUAUUCUCAUUUUUCAUCUGAGGAAACUGAGGCUCAGAGGAAUGAAAUGACUUGCUCCGUAUCACCAGAUAGUAAGUGGGAAAGCUAGGAAUUUUAUCCAUAGAGUCUGAAUCUAUAGUUAUCAUUCUUAAUUACUUUAUUCCUAUAUUGCCUUCCUUAACUUUAGACUUUUGUUAGCACAAAAUAUUUAGCCUGCACUUAAUCCAAUCUGAGCAAUUUGCAUGGCUUUGCUCUGCCAUAGGGAAGCUCAUGUACUUUUAAAGUUUCCCAAGAUAGAGUCAUCUGUGUUUCUCAGCUCAGCCUAUAUAACAUCUUGAGUAUUCCUGUCUAUAUCCCCUGACAUGUCCCCCU